UGCCAAUCUGUGGUUAGACAGAAGUUUACUUUCUCUUAUAUUAUUAUUGAAGCUAAACUCUCGGCUCUUCCCUUAAUAGACCCCCGAUUCUGGAAAGACCACCUAUUCAAGGUUUAGAAGUUCCAUUGUGAAGAAAUUGAUGUCCAGUGUUCCUGUUGCUAGUAGCCCUAUUAGCACAAGAUGGCAGCAGGUGCACAGGAGAAGUGAAGCGGAGCAAACUUUCACAGAAUGUCGGCCUAUUAAUGUCUCAGCAUCAGAUGGGUCUGAGCUAACAAGGACACCUGAAGCAAUCCCAAAAAUUCCAGUAACCUCUCCUAUGCUUAUCAAAACCUCUGCCACGGAGCCUGUUAUAAAUAUGAAUGCCAGAUAUCACAAGACUUACAGGGAAGACUCACAAGGAAGAAAUAGAAGAACAGCUGAAAGUACAAGUGAACAGGCAAGUAGUGCAAUAUUCCAAAUGUGCUGACAGGAUACUGACUUUCCAGAUAUUUAUCCGCUCGGUACAUUUUGCUCCCUUCUCCUAGACUCUCGCAAAUAUAUUCUACCUUUUUAACAUGUUAAAGAGUGAUUAUAACAACUAACUCUACAGCACCCUCAACAUAAAUGUUAUUUCAAAUUGCCCUGUUGCUUGUGGCUAAUUUAGAUUCAUUUAUCUCUUCUGUCAACUUCUUCCAAUCUACCAUCUUGCAAACCAAAAUUGAAACCUAACUGAUGAAACCCGCAAGAUGCAUGCCCUACCCCCUGAGGAAAUUGUGCAAGUGUCUUCAUUAGUGUUAUAAAAAGAUAUUUGUGACACCAUUUCCCCACUCAUUUUGUAUUGUUGACCACUGUGGGCCGAUAAAGGUUGAGGGAUGGGUGUUGGUCAAGUAGUCUGUAUGGACUGUUACGAAUGAUUUAUCAAGAACAGCCCACGUAGUGGCAUGCCUUUGAGAAAAAAUGGAAAUUUUCAGUGUUCUUGCUUGUAUCGAUUCAUGUCAUGCAACAGACAAUACAUUUGUUUUUAAUCAUUAUACAUAGUCAUCAUGUCAAGCUCAUUAUUCAAACAGCAGGGUGGUUGCUGUUUUCUAACACUUGGCUUUUCUAUGCAUCAAAUAUUGUGGGAAGGCCAUUCCUGUAUACCCUUCUAGAAAACAUAGUCACUGAACAUGGUCAGUCCGUCCGUCUAAUCAAGGCUGCUAUUCUAGGAAGUUCUCUUUCAAGAUUAGCAGUGCUUUCCAUGAAUCAUAGCAGAGUGUUGAUUUUGAAGGUAGGUUUUUUAGUUCAAAGUAAAUUUAUUUGAUUCAUAUACUUGAUUUUUUUUAAUUCCAGUUCUCUGUAUGGUUGUGGGUACCUUAUAUAAAGUGGCAGCGAUACUUGGAUAGCACUUUUCCUCCUUAGAUCUCAAAGGACACUGAUGCACAGAAAGGCAAGCCACUUGCCUAAUAUUACACUACGUGCCCACAUGUGCAAUUAAUGUGAAACAAUAAACUCUGGAGCAGUUUGAUGUGGAGUAAAUUA
Molecule: long non-coding RNA, 1497 nt
Filed under: Crocodylus porosus (Australian saltwater crocodile)
Lineage: Eukaryota; Metazoa; Chordata; Crocodylia; Crocodylidae
Description: lncRNA (ENSCPRG00005016839.1)
Source: RNAcentral